GAUGAACGCUGGCGGCGUGCCUAAUACAUGCAAGUCGAGCGAACAGAUAAGGAGCUUGCUCCUUUGACGUUAGCGGCGGACGGGUGAGUAACACGUGGAUAACCUACCUAUAAGACUGGGAUAACUUCGGGAAACCGGGGCUAAUACCGGAUAACAUAUUGAACCGCAUGGUUCAAUAGUGAAAGGCGGCUUUGCUGCCACUUAUAGAUGGAUCCGCGCCGUAUUAGCUAGUUGGUAAGGUAACGGCUUACCAAGGCAACGAUACGUAGCCGACCUGAGAGGGUGAUCGGCCACACUGGAACUGAGACACGGUCCAGACUCCUACGGGAGGCAGCAGUAGGGAAUCUUCCGCAAUGGGCGAAAGCCUGACGGAGCAACGCCGCGUGAGUGAUGAAGGUCUUCGGAUCGUAAAACUCUGUUAUCAGGGAAGAACAAAUGUGUAAGUAACUGUGCACAUCUUGACGGUACCUGAUCAGAAAGCCACGGCUAACUACGUG
This 497-nucleotide ribosomal RNA is filed under the name uncultured bacterium. Its description in RNAcentral is "partial 16S ribosomal RNA". It matches the Rfam family "Bacterial small subunit ribosomal RNA", at positions 28 to 507 of the family's 1533-position model. The record is from RNAcentral.